CAAAGGCUUCGGCCGGUAAAGGAUGGGGAUGCGUCUGAUUAGCUUGCCGGCGGGGUAACGGCCCACCGGGGCGACGAUCAGUAGGGGUUCUGAGAGGAAGGUCCCCCACAUUGGAACUGAGACACGGUCCAAACUCCUACGGGAGGCAGCAGUGAGGAAUAUUGGUCAAUGGGCGCGAGCCUGAACCAGCCAAGUAGCGUGCAGGACGACGGCCCUAUGGGUUGUAAACUGCUUUUAUACGGGGAUAAAGUAUGCCACGUGUGGUUUAUUGCAGGUACCGUAUGAAUAAGGACCGGCUAAUUCCGUGCCAGCAGCCGCGGUAAUACGGAAGGUCCGGGCGUUAUCCGGAUUUAUUGGGUUUAAAGGGAGCGUAGGCCGGGUUUUAAGCGUGCCGUGAAAUGUCGGGGCUCAACCUUGACACUGCGGCGCGAACUGGAGUCCUUGAGUGCGCGGAACGUAUGCGGAAUUCGUGGUGUAGCGGUGAAAUGCUUAGAUAUCACGAAGAACCCCGAUUGCGAAGGCAGCAUACGGCAGCGCUACUGACGCUGAAGCUCGAAGGCGCGGGUAUCGAACAGGAUUAGAUACCCUGGUAGUCCGCGCGGUAAACGAUGGAUGCCCGCUGUUGGCGAUAUAUUGUCA
RNAcentral lists this ribosomal RNA (639 nucleotides) under uncultured bacterium. Its description in RNAcentral is "bacterial SSU rRNA". It matches the Rfam family "Bacterial small subunit ribosomal RNA", at positions 202 to 842 of the family's 1533-position model. The record is from RNAcentral.